GGACGAACGCUGGCGGCGUGCUUAACACAUGCAAGUCGAGCGGUAAGGCCCUUUCGGGGGUACACGAGCGGCGAACGGGUGAGUAACACGUGGGUGACCUGCCUUUAGCUCUGGGGAUAAGCCUGGGAAACUGGGUCUAAUACCGGAUAUGACCCUAUGGCGCAUGUUGUGGGGUGGAAAGCCUUGUGCGGCUAGGGAUGGGCCCGCGGCCUAUCAGCUUGUUGGUGGGGUGAUGGCCUACCAAGGCGACGACGGGUAGCCGGCCUGAGAGGGCGACCGGCCACACUGGGACUGAGACACGGCCCAGACUCCUACGGGAGGC
This 322-nucleotide ribosomal RNA is filed under the name uncultured bacterium. RNAcentral describes it as "bacterial SSU rRNA". It matches the Rfam family "Bacterial small subunit ribosomal RNA", at positions 27 to 349 of the family's 1533-position model. The record is from RNAcentral.